RNAcentral lists this ribosomal RNA (253 nucleotides) under uncultured bacterium. Its description in RNAcentral is "partial 16S ribosomal RNA". It matches the Rfam family "Bacterial small subunit ribosomal RNA", at positions 524 to 776 of the family's 1533-position model. The record is from RNAcentral.
UACGUAGGGGGCUAGCGUUGUCCGGAAUCAUUGGGCGUAAAGAGCGUGUAGGCGGCCACGCAGGUCCGUUGUGAAAACUGGAGGCUCAACCUCCAGCUGUCGACGGAAACCGUAUGGCUAGAGUCCGGAAGAGGAGAGUGGAAUUCCUGGUGUAGCGGUGAAAUGCGCAGAUAUCAGGAAGAACACCAAUGGCGAAGGCAGCUCUCUGGGACGGUACUGACGCUGAGACGCGAAAGCGUGGGGAGCGAACAGG